CUUCAAUAAUAUAAUAUCACAUACAAAUCCAAAAUUUUUUCAUAUUUUUAACCACACAUUUCUCAUCAAUACACUAUUCAAAAAUACAUUUUUACGAAAAUAAUGUAACUCAAACAAGUGUUAAAUCAUCAAUCACCAACAUUUGUAUUUUAUUAGUAUUUGCUCAUCCAGAAAUAAAAGCUUACUAAAAUGCUCACCCGCUUUUAGAAAAAAUUACUCAUUCAUCACUCAUUUCAAUUCCAUCCAGCCGAUUGGGCAAAAAAAUCCACGUGACAGAUGAAAAUUAUACGUAGCCACUAACAUUGUUAAAAAAAAAAUGACAGGUGGAUUAAUCCAUUAACAUUAAAAGUGAUUUCUCUGUAAAAUAUGGAAGAAUCGUCUUUCCCUUUCUCCGGUCCUUUUUCACAAGAAUUUGUUCCGGGUGUAAUAUUUCUCUUCAUAGCCCCCAAGCACCGACGGCAUCCAUAGAUUUCCAAGUCAACUCGCUUCCACAAUAUAUAUUAUCCCCAAGCUUAAAGUCACAUUCUGCGAAAGAGUGCAUCAUUUGGCAGUCUUCUUUUCUUUGUCCAGCCAACCAUUUUGCAUAGUCUUCCAGUUGAGUGUCUUAGGUCCGAGGAAAUUUCAAUUUUAGUGCUCUUAAUUGGAUGCGUGCAAGGAGGCAAUCAAGGAUGUUUGUAUCUGAAGUGCAACCACCGGAAUCAGCAUCUAAUUUUCACUUACUGCCAACACUUGAAAUUGGUUUUAAUAAUACUGUAGAAUUUACCAAUCAUGGUCCUCUACAAAAUGCGCCCAAUAUUUCAACAACGGAGAAAAUGAAUCUCCAAAUCAUAAUGAAAGACUUGCAAGAAAGAGAGAACCAAGAAAAAGCAAAGAAGAGAGCUGCAUAACAACAAACAAAAUGGUUAUACGAGGAUUAUUUCCAUAUGCACCCGAGGGAGAGAAAGAAUUUAACAACUCACUGAACUCAGUAGCGCAUUAAUUUAGUUUCUUGGCUAUCAUUAGGGUUUUAGAGAUAAGAACUAUGAAUUGAUUGUACCUAAAAUUGUUUAUGCUACUAGAUAGUUCUGCUGCGGAGUUCCCUAGCUGUGAAUCUCUUGUGCAACUUUGACCUGUAAAAUAUUCUGCAGCUUAAGACAUUGUUUUUAAAGUUUGCCAACAAACAAAGCAAAUAGACUAUUUUCAUAUACGUUAUCAUUCAGUGACUAAGAAGCAUAUCAGGUUUUCUAUUUCAUUUCAGCAUCACAUAAACUGCAACAGGACUCUCCUUGUGUUGUUUCAGCAAUUUGCAAAUCAGAAGGAAGAAAAUAUCACGAGGUGAACCAACAAGAACCUAUUUCAUUUAAAACAUCAAAAACAUAUGGUUUUCUUUGAUGAUCGUACAACAAUUGCCACUUACACGACACCAUCAACAUUACUACAUCUUCACCGACAAACAAAUACCAAAACAUCAAUAAGUACCUACUAACUACACAAUCAAAUCAACGUACCAACCCAUUACUUUUUUUCCUACAAGUCAAAUAACAACAACAUCCUACCAACUAAAAGACAUAAAUUUCUGAAUUUUCUCUGAAGCUCGUUUCAAUUGGAGGGUGAUUUUGGGUGAUAUAGGGAUACAUUUUUGUGAGAAUAUUGAUUUGGAGGAGAAAUUGAUAUGGGAUGAAAAAUGAUUUGGGAUUAGAAAUUGAUUGGGUAUUUAAUCCGAGAAGAAAUUGAUUGGGUUUUGAAUUGGGGAAGAAAUCUUGUGAACAAAAUCUCAAAGAGGUUAUACUGGAAUUGCAUUGAAGAGACCAUACAAUUCUUAUAUGUACACAAUUAAGAGCACAAAAAUUGGGAUUUCAUCAGACCUAGGACUCUCAACUGGAAAACUAUGCAAAAUGGUUGGCUGGGCAGAGAAAAGAAGACUACCAACUAAUGCACUCAUUCGUAGAAGGAGAAUAUAUAUUGUGGAAGCGGAUCGACUUGGACUCCGGUGGAUGUCGUCCGUGCUUGGGCCGGUGAAAAGAAAUAUUACACUUAGAACCAACUCUUGUGAAGGACGAAGAAAGAGCAAAACGAUUCUUCCAUACCUUAAAUCUUUACUCGUUGUAGCAAGCACUUCCUUUCUUUUUUUUAAUCGAAUUUUUAUCUUCAAUAAUUAAUUAGUACAUCUCGUCAUUGACGAUGAUUUAUAUUAAAAUAUUUUAUUUCCAUAUUUUGAAACGAUACUUUUCUAUUGAUUCAUUUUUUAAAGAUAUGAUGGGAAAAUAAAUUGCACUAUUUCAACGAAAUUUUUG
Molecule: long non-coding RNA, 2273 nt
Filed under: Olea europaea subsp. europaea
Lineage: Eukaryota; Viridiplantae; Streptophyta; Magnoliopsida; Lamiales; Oleaceae
Source: RNAcentral